RNAcentral lists this long non-coding RNA (201 nucleotides) under Lathyrus oleraceus (garden pea). Its description in RNAcentral is "Pisum sativum (pea) long non-coding RNA (PSAT_LNC019617)". Lineage: Eukaryota; Viridiplantae; Streptophyta; Magnoliopsida; Fabales; Fabaceae. The record is from RNAcentral.
CAUUAUAUAGCACUGGUGUUUUUAUGUAUUCAACCUUUAAAUCCUUUAACAAAUAUACAAUCCAUUGAAGUUCACAUGAGGUAGCAGUUAAAACUCGAUAUUCACUUUCACUUGAUGAUUUAGAGACAAUCAAUUAACUCUUGGUUUUCCAUGAAAUGAGGGAUCUUUCAAAAAAGAAACAUUAACCUGAAAUUGACCUUC